GUUGGUGGUAGACCGGCAAUGGGUCUAAUCUUUCCGCCCGAUCCCCGUGGCUCUGGGCGCCUGCCGCUGCUGCUACUGCUGAAGGGAUCCCGUAGCGGAGACGGGAGGCGGCGAAGAGCGAGAUCCGUGGAGCAGCGAACUUCGUAUUUUGUUAUCUUCUCCAGUUCCUUUUCUUCUGUUCUGCUGUCUCCAGCUAAAAGAGAAAAAAAAAAGAAAAGAAAAAAAAGGAAAAGGAAAAAAAGUAAAGAAAAAAAAGAGAAAACAUUGUGUUCUGAGUUUUGUUAGCAUUUUUCAGCCUUGUUUGAAUCUGAAGAUUUUGAUUAGGUUGAGCCAAGCUUGUUACAUUUCUUAUUAUUCGUGCAUCCCAAAAUAUUCCUGCUGGAUUUGCUUGCUCUGGAAAGUGCCACCCUGAUUCCACUCUUGCCUGAUUCAUACAUUACACCAAACCAUAAUGCAAUGUUUUGAUUUGGAUAUAGCAUUAUGUGUGAAGAUAGCCACUGUAUUUGAAAGCCAAGGCGUCUGUUCCAAGCUACUAUAACUUGUUCUACAAAUCAGAAUUAAAACUAACUAAAGCUUGGCACAAUCUGUGAACUCAGCUUCUGUUUCUGUGCUAAUGAAGUUAUUUUCUGUCAAGGAAAUGAAAUAAAUUACCUUAUUGAUUAACCACA
Long non-coding RNA from Crotalus tigris (Tiger rattlesnake), 668 nucleotides. RefSeq lists it as uncharacterized. Lineage: Eukaryota; Metazoa; Chordata; Lepidosauria; Squamata; Viperidae. The record is from RefSeq and is a predicted model, not a curated record. The transcript is spliced from 3 exons.